Molecule: unclassified non-coding RNA, 332 nt
Filed under: soil metagenome
Description: partial contains 5.8S ribosomal RNA, internal transcribed spacer 2, and large subunit ribosomal RNA
Rfam family: 5.8S ribosomal RNA (bases 1-120)
Source: RNAcentral
GAUGAAGAACGUAGCGAAAUGCGAUAAGUAGAGUGAAUUGCAGAAUUCAGUGAAUCAUCGAAUCUUUGAACGCACAUUGCGCCCUUUGGUAUUCCUUAGGGCAUGCCUGUUCGAGCGUCAUUUAAACCUUCAAGCUAAGCUUGGUGUUGGGUGACUGUCCGCCUCACGGCGGACUCGCCUCAAAAUUAUUGGCGGCCGGUACAUUGGCUUCGAGCGCAGCAGAAACGCGAACUCGGGCCCGUCGUAUUGGCUCCCAGAAGCUAUCUUCACAAUUUUGACCUCGGAUCAGGUAGGGAUACCCGCUGAACUUAAGCAUAUCAAUAAGCGGAGGA